AUAGUGAUUUGUACAUUGCUACAACGAUACCAACGUAUUCGUUCUGCGAGAACAAAAACAGUUCAACCUUUAGUCCUCUAAAAAGGCAUCAUUUAUAAUAAACUGACUAACUCCUCGAUUUUUUAUUUUUAACUUAAUUCUGUAAAAGAAAAAAGUGUAGAAAAAAUACCCAAAAGUGACGAACCUGAUCAAAAUUCUGGAAGCCUAUUCUACUUUCGGUCCAUCUUUUCCGUGAAUGCACUACAAAUUCAAAUGAACUACUUCUCAAAACUAAGUACAUCCAGCUUAUCAAAGUAAAACUUACAUUUCAGACUUUUUUGAUUCAUUUCCGAGUUGAUAAACGAUACAAACGAUUUUAGUGUUUUUGAUAUUGAAUGUUUUGCUAGGUUUAAAACUAACAAGAUUUAAAAUUCGAAAGAUAAACCUUGGGAAGAAUACUUCCCAACUACAGGAUUUUAGAAAGUCCACCUGUGGGAAGCGCAAAACCCGUUGUAGUUUACAGAUCUAUUAUAACGAUUGGAACAAUAAUUCUCACUUCAGUUUUGUGCUGCCAUCUAUUGUGCAAUUGAUUGAACAGAAUUAGCACAUUUGUUUUGAAAGUUUUCCAACUUCCGUGAAAUUUAUUCCAAGACGCCUGUUUUGAUGUAACAUUUGUAUUGAUCAACGCUUCUACUGCAAAAAGGAAAAUAAAUAUGAAGUUCAUCAUUAUUUUGUUUUUGUUCUUAUGCCUCAUUUCUGUUGUAUUUGGCCACAAAAAAUGCGACAAACAUCGAAAAAAACAAAUGAAAAGGAGGGAAAAGGGAUUAAUUGGCAACUUCAUUCCAGAUUGUGAUGAAAAAGGUCAUUACAAACAAGUUCAGUGCAAUGAAGCAACUGGAUUCUGUUGGUGCGUCGACAAAAAAGGACACAAAACUACUAAAACUGUCCUCCGAGAACAACCUAACUGUCCAAAAAGUUAAAAACUCUAUGUUUUUUUAAAAGAGAAUUUAUUCGACUCGAGUUCCUGUUUUCAAAUUGUGAUUCAAAAUGUAUUCUAAAACUCUUCAUUCUUCAUAGAAAUGUGAUAAAUUUAUACUUGUUGAAAUAAAUAAUUUAGAUGAAACUA
Parasteatoda tepidariorum (common house spider) is the source of this 1105-nucleotide long non-coding RNA. Lineage: Eukaryota; Metazoa; Arthropoda; Arachnida; Araneae; Theridiidae. The record is from RefSeq and is a predicted model, not a curated record.